UAUAUAUCUUUCGGGAUAUAGAGAGUGGCGAAGGGGUGCGUAACGCGUAUGCAACCUACCUUGUACAGGGGAAUAGCCCGGAGAAAUUCGGAUUAAUGCCCCAUAGUAUCACCAGAUGGCAUCUGAAGGUGAUUAAAGAUUUAUCGGUACAAGAUGGGCAUGCGUGACAUUAGUUAGUUGGCGGGGUAACGGCCCACCAAGACUAUGAUGUCUAGGGGUUCUGAGAGGAUGAUCCCCCACACUGGUACUGAGAUACGGACCAGACUCC
Molecule: ribosomal RNA, 268 nt
Filed under: unidentified marine bacterioplankton
Lineage: Bacteria
Description: partial 16S ribosomal RNA
Rfam family: Bacterial small subunit ribosomal RNA
Source: RNAcentral